This 641-nucleotide long non-coding RNA is filed under the name Sus scrofa (pig). Its description in RNAcentral is "lncRNA (ENSSSCG00035044871.1)". The record is from RNAcentral. Lineage: Eukaryota; Metazoa; Chordata; Mammalia; Artiodactyla; Suidae.
CAAGGUAGGACCCUGGCCAAGACACCCCAGACCCUGGCCACAAUCACCCAAACCCAGACGGCAGCACGAGCCAUGUCUCACCUUGGGAUCUCUCCUGCCACCACCGCCAGAGGAGGGGUCUCGGCCCCACGCAGCCUGGCCCGGCCUUCGGCUUCCACCCUACAAGGGACCCAAGAGACAAGGUGACACCCACAGUGAGACGCCAUCGACUGGGCUCCUCGGGCGGUCGGCGCUGCCCCGUUGGGCUCGAGGAUGGAAAGGCAGGAAGAGAAAGGCAUUCCUCCCCGCACGGCCACUGGGCAACCCAAGGGGCCCGCCCCACCCAACGAGGCCUCGCCAUCCCUCGGGGGGGCCUCUAGGACCCGUCCCCUGGCUUUCGGUCUCUCUGGGCCGCGGAGGACCAGCUGGGCCCCUGUGCAGGACGUCCAAGAGACCUUCCUAGCCAGAGCUGUCCCAUCCCUGGGACGCCAGAGCCCUUCUGGACUGCUGGCCUCGCCCGCAUCUGCCGCCCCCCCUCCACCAGCCCCUCGCACUGCCCUGCCCAGCCCAGCCCCGACAAGCCCUGGGAUGCUGCUCACACUGGCCUUCUGGAUCCAGAGACAACGCUGCCAUCCUCGCCUGCUCAUCCAGGAAGGAGCCUG